AAAUGACACAAACAAAUUUUAACAAACACAUAAUACAAUACAAAUUACUAUAAAGCAAAAUAGCUGAAUAGUAGAUAUAUAGAAUUCAUGAAAUUUUUAGGCACUUAUGGUUUAGGCACAAUAGGUAACUCUGGCUUAGGAAUUUGAGGUAUUUGAGGCACAGUUGGAAUUUGAGGAAUUUGAGGGAUAGUUGGUACAACAGGAAUAUCAGGAAUUGGAACACCUAAAUUUGGAAUUGGUGGCAAUUGUGGUUCUGUAAGUGGCAAUGGAAGAGUAGGUAGUGGUGGCAAUGGAAGAGUAGGUAGUGGUGGCAACUCAACUUUGGAAACUUCAACCACUUUGUGUAGGUCACGUGCCCCUUCAACAUUUGUCAUUGAUGAAAAAGUUAUGAGUAGAAGUGGUAAAAUGAAUGACCAGAAAUUGAUGGAAGCCAUUUUUUUGGAGCUAGAGCUUGAUAUUUG
This 461-nucleotide long non-coding RNA is filed under the name Cicer arietinum (chickpea). Its description in RNAcentral is "long non-coding RNA (CARI_LNC000009)". The record is from RNAcentral. Lineage: Eukaryota; Viridiplantae; Streptophyta; Magnoliopsida; Fabales; Fabaceae.